AGACAGCUCAUCAUAGUGGGGAAGGGCAGACAGCUUGUCACAGAGGGGAAAUGCAAUGGCAGCAGCUUUGUGUCAGAGGGCUGUUCACACGGUAGUAGAUAAAAGUGGAGAACAUGGCUGGAAUCUUCACAAGAUUGCUCCUAGUGAUCUACUUCUGCCAGGCCUCACACGAAAGAAGAAAAAAAACUAUCUUGCUUUUGGGAAGAAAACCAACUAAACCAAAAAACCCGUCAAGCUUAGUGGCUCGUGUGCACGAUUCCCUCCUGACAGGAGCUGAGUACUCAGCAGCCCUGAGCCCAAGCUGAAUCGGAAGUGUCAGCAAACCCCUGCAGACACAGGGAACUGCAAACUGCUUUUUCUGAUGUCAGGACUUCUCCUCAGGGAGCUCACUCUGCUGCAUUUGCUCAUGGCCAGAAGACUCAUCCGGCAGGAGAAAGGUAUAUGGGUUGCUGUCUACUACUGUUGGCUUUAACAUCAACAGCUGAGUGGCAAGUCAAACACGUGGACACCACCUUGUAUUCUGAAAUUCACUGAUCCAACAGUGUGGGAAUCUAGAUGAACAGGGAGGAAGCCUGUGUGUGAGAGUUCUACCAUCCCCGCCCCUGCCUCUCCCAUUCUGCUCAUAGAUGUCGAAAUUGCAAAGAGCAGAUGGCUGGUUCCUGCCCUGAUGGCCUCUGGCCUCGGACACCCCGCCAUGACUUGCCCUGCAUUACAAAAGCUCAUCAGCAAAUGUGCUCUGGGGACGCUGACUUGGAUGCUAUGUUCUAACAGGUAUUCCUGAUUAUUCCUACAGAGGGUCACACCUGGGUGUCCUCAAGGGAGAAGAGAGAGUCAUGGCCUGAGUCUGUGCUCAACUCUGAAUGAAUUAUGGGAGGCAGUGCUCCAAGUUCACCUUUGCCUUAAGAAUACAUUGGUAUGCUCACAAAGCCCACCACAUAGCAGAUGAUUAGACAGCUUUUUUUUUUUCCAGCUGAAUUUACAGAAUAAAACUGGCUCAGUGGCCUUUGAGGGUGACAUGGAUACAGAACUGGCCUAUUUCAGUCAUAAGUAAAAUCAUUCUUUCCUGGAUGAACUAAGCUCAAAUUAAAGAAGUGAUUGUAAAGAUUAAAAGAAGCAAGAAUGUAAAAAGACUGACCUUGGCAUCCAGGAGCCUGCUAAGAAAUACCUCUUGGACCUUCCUGCUCUCCCAAAGAAAGUAAGCAAGCCACAACACCAGCAUCAAACAAGAGCAGUUCCUUCCUUCCACCAGAACAAUCUGCUGAAAUAUCCAACCUCAGGACUGGAGAUUGGCUGCCAGACUAGAGCCAAGUGGGCAAACCAGCAACAGCCACUCAGGACAGCCAGAAGGUAGCUGCUUGGGCACACAUAUGCCUUGUUUGAUGGUAUUCACACUAUUGUCUGUGUUCAGACACAAUGAUGAAAGGACUUUCUUUUGAACUGUUUCAGCUACACAAAUAAGAGGGGACAAUAUGAUAUCAUUUUCAAAUGGCAUAAAAUUAAAUCAUCUGAGAAAAUUAAUGAAAAAUAUCUAAGCUUCAGACAGAGAAAACUGUACCUCUUAGGGGACAUCAAGAACACUAGAGAAAAAGGAAGGGAAGAUUCAUUGGCAUCAAUUUCAGAUAACCUUAAAGGGAAGAGCAUUAGUGAAGAGCAGAGGUGAAGGGCAGCAUACCCCAGCAUGGAUUUAACAUAAAAUGAGGAAAAAAAAAGACACAUGAAAAACUAGUAACAAAUGCACAAAGACUAUUCCCUCAGCCAUUGGGGAAAUGCCAAUGAGAACCACAAUGAGAUUGAUUCUUAUCGUACCCUAGACAGAACGACUUGCUUCAUGAAAACCAAUGACAACAAGUGCUGGUAUGCAUUGCACCAACUGAAGACCUCAGCCCCCAAAAGACUUUCGCAGGUAAAACAAACGUUCUUCAUCCUUACUUUUCACUGUGAGGUACAUGGACUUGCUGACGUCUGCGCCCACAUCGUUGCUGACCUUGCAGAGGUAGUAGCCACUGUCUUCUUCUACAACAUGCUUGAUCAAGAGUGAGCCAUUACUCAGGACCUGGAUUCGGCCAUUCAAGGCAAUUGGCUGGAACUGGGGGACCCCAGCACCUGGGAGGAGAGAAGCACAAAAGGAAACCAUGACGCUGAGGAGUGAUGAUUCAUCUUUACUGGACAUGUGACUAGAUUCAGAAACACCUAAGGCUUCCCUCUGGGAGUGUCUGUGAAACAUCCAGAGAGCUUUAGACGAAAAGGGAAGGGCUACGUGUAUGGCACUGUCAUCCUAUUGACUAGGGCCCUAGACUGAACACAGGGGUCAAAGGACAGCCAGAGUUAUAGCUACAGGGGCAUACCAUGUCUACACCAUGACAGACCAACCACAUUAUGUCAAACUGUGAGCAAAACUCAACCUCCUUCUCUAACUUGCUGCUUAUAUUUGGUUUCACAAUAGUGAAACAAGAGAGUGGGGGUAGAAUGAGAAUGAACACAUGGACACAAGAUUGAUUGAUUCCUAGCACCUGUACACAGUCAGGUCCAGGUGUUUGUUUCUAUAAGCCUAGCACUGAAGAGCCAAAGACAGAAAUGGAGGAUCUCUGGACAGGCUGAGCAGCCAGUGCUUUGGGAUUGGCCAGUCCCAUAUCCAAGAAGUCCCCCUGGAACAAUAGGCUAGAGAGCAAAUCAGGAAGAUAUUCACUGUUGACUUCUGGUUUCUACUAGUAUCUAUAUGUGCAGAUAAAUAAGUGUUGAGUAACAAAGUGGACCCCCAAAUGGCAGUGAUGCUGAUAAUGUCCUGAGACAACAGUCCAAGAACAACCCAGGCAGGACUCUGACCCAAUAAACAGAAGGAUUCCUAGUGGGUAAACAAAGAUCUAAAUUCAGCAUUCCUCAGGGCAGGUUUCAGUUAGUCAGGAAAGCCACUACUUUCCAUCUCUACUACCAAUGGUCAACUACCUCCAGCAAAGAGCUUCUAUACCUGAUUAGCCCAAACAUCCUGCAACAGAUCAAAGUCCCUACAAGAACUCCAGGCCUUUCUAGCUCCCAUACUGGCUCCUGUUGCUACCCACCCCAACAAAACUGAUAAGCAGCUCUACCCUCUGAAGCAGCCUGGCAGCUUGUCCCCAAUAAAUUGUUCUUUCUACCC
RNAcentral lists this long non-coding RNA (3133 nucleotides) under Mus musculus (house mouse). RNAcentral describes it as "predicted gene, 32509". The record is from RNAcentral. Lineage: Eukaryota; Metazoa; Chordata; Mammalia; Rodentia; Muridae.